GACGAACGCUGGCGGCGUGCUUAACACAUGCAAGUCGAGCGGUAAGGCCCUUCGGGGUACACGAGCGGCGAACGGGUGAGUAACACGUGGGUGAUCUGCCUUGCACUCUGGGAUAAGCCUGGGAAACUGGGUCUAAUACCGGAUAUGACCUGCAGUUGCAUGACUGUGGGUGGAAAGAUUUAUCGGUGCAAGAUGAGCCCGCGGCCUAUCAGCUUGUUGGUGGGGUAAUGGCCUACCAAGGCGACGACGGGUAGCCGGCCUGAGAGGGCGACCGGCCACACUGGGACUGAGACACGGCCCAGACUCCUACGGGAGGCAGCAGUGGGGAAUAUUGCACAAUGGGCGAAAGCCUGAUGCAGCGACGCCGCGUGAGGGAUGACGGCCUUCGGGUUGUAAACCUCUUUCGACUCCGACGAAGCGAAAGUGACGGUAGGAGUAUAAGAAGCACCGGCCAACUACGUG
Molecule: ribosomal RNA, 462 nt
Filed under: Nocardia carnea
Lineage: Bacteria; Bacillati; Actinomycetota; Actinomycetes; Mycobacteriales; Nocardiaceae
Description: bacterial SSU rRNA
Rfam family: Bacterial small subunit ribosomal RNA
Source: RNAcentral